ACUCAAAUGAAUUGACGGGGGCCCGCACAAGCGGUGGAUCAUGUGGUUUAAUUCGAAGCAACGCGAAAAACCUUACCUGGGUUUGACAUCCCCGGAAGAUCUCAGAAAUGGGAUUGUCUGUAGCAAUACAGCCGGGAGACAGGUGCUGCAUGGCUGUCGUCAGCUCGUGUGGUGACAUGUUGGGUUAAGUCCCGCAACGAGCGCAACCCCUGUCCUUAGUUGCCAGCAUUAAGUUGGGCUCUCUAAGGAGACUGCCGUGGUUAACACGGAGGAAGGUGGGGAUGACGUCAAGUCCUCAUGGCCUUUAUAUCCAGGGCGACACACGUGAUACAAUGGUCGGUACAGAGGGAAGCCAAAGCGCGAGCUGGAGCCAAUCUCAAAAAGCCGAUCUCAGUUCGGAUUGGAGUCUGCAACUCGACUCCAUGAAGUUGGAAUCGCUAGUAAUCGCGGAUCAGCACGCCGCGGUGAAUACGUUCCCGGGCCUUGCACACACCGCCCGU
This 500-nucleotide ribosomal RNA is filed under the name uncultured bacterium. RNAcentral describes it as "partial 16S ribosomal RNA". It matches the Rfam family "Bacterial small subunit ribosomal RNA", at positions 899 to 1397 of the family's 1533-position model. The record is from RNAcentral.